CACCGCGGUUAUACGAGAGGCCCAAGUUGACAAAUGCCGGCGUAAAAUGUGGUUAUUACAGUAUUUCACUAAAGCCAAACAUCUUCAAAGCUGUUAUAUGCUCUCGAAGACAGGAAGUUCAUUCACGAAAGUGGCUUUAACCUCUAUGUACCACGAAAGCUAGGGAA
Molecule: ribosomal RNA, 167 nt
Filed under: Oxyurichthys auchenolepis (scaly-nape tentacle goby)
Lineage: Eukaryota; Metazoa; Chordata; Actinopteri; Gobiiformes; Gobiidae
Description: partial 12S rRNA
Source: RNAcentral